AGUGAACGCUGGCGGCGUGCUUAACACAUGCAAGUCGAACGCGAAAGGGACUUCGGUCCUGAGUAGAGUGGCGCACGGGUGAGUAACGCGUAAGUAAUCUACCCCUGUAUUCGGAAUAACCCACCGAAAGGUGAGCUAAUACCGGAUACGUUUAUCUUGAUGCGAAUGAUGAUAAAGAAAGGUGGCCUCUUCAUGAAAGCUACUGUACAGGGACGAGCUUGCGUACCAUUAGCUAGUUGGUAGGGUAAUGGCCUACCAAGGCGACGAUGGUUAACGGGUCUGAGAGGAUGAGACGCCACGCUGGAACUGGAACACGGACCAGACUCCUACGGGAGUCAGCAGUGAGGAAUAUUGCGCAAUGGGGGCAACCCUGACGCAGCGACGCCGCGUGGAUGAUGAAGGCCCUUGGGUCGUAAAAUCCUGUCAGAUGGAAAGAAAUGUAUAGCAGCUAAUAUCUGUUAUAUUUGACGGUACCAUCAAAGGAAGCACCGGCUAAUUCCGUGCCAGCAGCCGCCGUAA
This 519-nucleotide ribosomal RNA is filed under the name uncultured bacterium. RNAcentral's name for it is "partial 16S ribosomal RNA". It matches the Rfam family "Bacterial small subunit ribosomal RNA", at positions 29 to 523 of the family's 1533-position model. The record is from RNAcentral.